RNAcentral lists this unclassified non-coding RNA (220 nucleotides) under plant metagenome. RNAcentral describes it as "partial contains small subunit ribosomal RNA, internal transcribed spacer 1, and 5.8S ribosomal RNA". The record is from RNAcentral.
UUUCCGUAGGUGAACCUGCGGAAGGAUCAUUACAGAGUUCAUGCCCUCACGGGUAGAUCUCCCACCCUUGAAUAUUUAUACCUUAGUUGCUUUGGCAGGCCGUGGAAACACCAUGGGCUCCGGCUUAUGCGUGCCUGCCAGAGGAAACAAACUCUGUUUUUAGUGAGGUCUGAGUACCAUAUAAUAGUUAAAACUUUCAACAACGGAUCUCUUGGUUCUG